CAAUAGCGUAUAUUAAAGUUGUUGCAGUUAAAAAGCUCGUAGUUGGAUUCCUGGUGGGAGCGAUCGGUCUGGCGCUUAGCGCGAGUACUUGCAUCGUCUCCGGCCAUCCUUGGGGAAAGUCUGUCUGGCAUUAAGUUGUCGGGCAGAGGAUCCUCAUCGUUUACUGUGAAAAAAUUAGAGUGUUCAAAGCAGGCUUAUGCCGUUGAAUAUAUUAGCAUGGAAUAAUAAGAUAGGACUUUGGUACUAUUUUGUUGGUUUGCGCACCAAAGUAAUGAUUAAUAGGGACAGUUGGGGGUAUUCGUAUUCCGUUGUCAGAGGUGAAAUUCUUGGAUUUACGGAAGACGAACUACUGCGAAAGCAUUUACCAAGGAUGUUUUCAUUAA
RNAcentral lists this ribosomal RNA (383 nucleotides) under uncultured eukaryote. RNAcentral's name for it is "partial 18S ribosomal RNA". It matches the Rfam family "Eukaryotic small subunit ribosomal RNA", at positions 592 to 976 of the family's 1831-position model. The record is from RNAcentral.